ACCCCAUGGAGCUUUAAACUUAACACAACCUAUUUUCCCACACCCUAAUACCAAUAGAGCCCUGUGUAAUAAGUUUUAGGUUGGGGUGACCACGGAGCACAGCACAACCUCCAUGAUAAACAAAACUAAUCUUUUUAUCUAAGAGCUACACCUCUAAGAAUUAGCAUACUAAUAUUUAAUGACCCGAUAAUCGAUCAACGGACCAAGUUACCCUGGGGAUAACAGCGCAAUCCACUUCAAGAGCCCCUAUCGACAAGUGGGUUUACGACCUCGAUGUUGGAUCAGGGUGUCCUAGUGGUGCAGCAGCUACUAAAGGUUCGUUUGUUCAACGAUUAAACCCUACAUGAUCUGAGUUCAAACCGGACUC
This 367-nucleotide ribosomal RNA is filed under the name Gephyromantis atsingy. RNAcentral's name for it is "partial 16S ribosomal RNA". It matches the Rfam family "Bacterial large subunit ribosomal RNA", at positions 2088 to 2623 of the family's 2925-position model. The record is from RNAcentral. Lineage: Eukaryota; Metazoa; Chordata; Amphibia; Anura; Mantellidae.